AAAUUUACCAUACAAGAUUCAUCUUUUCUUCAAAUCUACUGAUCUUCAGGCACUUUGUAUAAGUCAGCUGUAAUUUCCGUUAACCAUAACCCCGGAAAUAGCGUGUCCAAAUUUUUUUGAACCAAUCUAGCUCGUUUUUUGGGUCUACGAGGGGGUCUAUGUCCGAUCAUCGCCGUGAAAUCUUCUUCGAUCUCUUUUCGCGACAGGGAAACGGAAUAUUUCACCCUCUGUUUCUUCUCGCCGCUACAAGAAGCUCCGGCGAUUACUCCACCGGAAAAUUCACUUCGAAAUCUUGAAGAUUUGUUAUUCUCCGUCUUUAAUGGUGGCAAACAGUUCAUUUCCUUCGAUCCACCACUUCCGCCAGCUCCGGCGCCGGCGAGUACACCGUUCGGUUCGUUACAAGCCGCUCGCCGAGUCCUCAAGCUCCAUGGUCUGGAUAAGUCGCCGACGGCGGCUGCAUCAGAUACAUCUACCUUCACAUUCAUCGUCAUCGUCGCCGGCGCCGGCGACGGAGAAUCUAAUCCUUCCCUUAAAAUCGCGUCUUUCAUCUUAUCAGUUUCCGUUUGAAGAUCAAUCAUCAGUUUCUCUCUAACAGCUUCAAUUCCCUCACCACUAUCUCCGUUCACCGAUCUGAAUUUCGUCCGGUGCCGUUCCACCACCCCUGUUUCCCUACGCCGUCCGAUCAAUUCCGACCUUGACAUUUCUUCAUCGGAAUCCUCCUUAACGCACCUUAAAAACUUCUGAUUCCCCCACUUCAACCCACAUGGCAAAGAAAAAUUAUGUAAAGGCUUCGAUCUUUCAGGUCCCAUCGCCAUAUAAACACCUUCAAAUCUUCAAUAUCAGUUUAAAAACCAUCAAAAUCAAAACACCCACAUGCUCAAAAAAACAAAUCUCUCUUCCUUUUUCUCUUAUUAUUCUCUACUCUGCUCAACAACAAAGCAAAUGGGAUUCAUAUUCUUCAAAAAAAAAUUCAAGAUUUGAACUUUUUUCUUCUUUAUGUGUUGUGUUAAGUUGAGUUAACGAUGAAAUCGCCGGCAAUAUAAAGUAUAUAUACAUAUAUAUUAUAUAUCGGUCACCAGAGAAGAAAGAGGGAGAGAGAAGAG
Molecule: unclassified non-coding RNA, 1103 nt
Filed under: Hevea brasiliensis (rubber tree)
Lineage: Eukaryota; Viridiplantae; Streptophyta; Magnoliopsida; Malpighiales; Euphorbiaceae
Source: RNAcentral